Molecule: ribosomal RNA, 779 nt
Filed under: uncultured archaeon
Lineage: Archaea
Description: bacterial SSU rRNA
Rfam family: Archaeal small subunit ribosomal RNA
Source: RNAcentral
UUCCGGUUGAUCCUGCCGGACCCCACUGCUAUCGGGAUAGGACUAAGACAUGUAAGUCAAGCGCUUUCUAGCUAAUGUGAGAGCGCGGCGUACAGCUCAGUAACACGUGGCCAACCUGCCCUUAGGACGGGAACACCCCCGGGAAACUGGGGUUAAUUCCCGAUAGGUGAAGGAGUCUGGAAUGACCCUUCGCUCAAAAGACGUUUAUGUCAUGCUCAUAUUCGUCGCCCAGGGAUGGGGCCGCGACCGAUCAGGUAGUUGGUGAGGCAAUGGCUCACCAAGCCUUUUACCGGUGCGGGCCGUGAGAGCGGGAGCCCGGAGAUGGGCACUGAGACAAAGGCCCAGGCCCCACGGGGCGCAGCAGUCGCGAAAAUUUUGCAAUACACGAAAGUGUGACAGAGCUAUCCCGAGUGCCAUCCGCUGAGGAAGGCUUUUACCCAGUAUAAAUAGCUGGGAGAAUAAGGAGAGGGCAAGUCUGGUGUCAGCCGCCGCGGUAAUACCAGCUCUCCGAGUAGUGUGGACGUUUAUUGGGCCUAAAGCAUCCGUAGCUUGCUAGAUAAGUCCUCUGUUAAAUCCACCGAUUCAAUCGUUGGAUUGCGGGGGAUACUGUUUGGCUAGGGGACGGGAGAGGUCGACGGUAUUUCCCGGGGUAGGGGUGAAAAUCCUAUAAUCCCGGGAGGACCACCAGUGGGCGAAAGCUGUCGACUAGAACGCGCCCGACGGUGAGGGAUGAAAGCUGGAUGCACGAACCGGAUUACAUACCGGGGUAGUCCCCAGCU